RNAcentral lists this ribosomal RNA (331 nucleotides) under uncultured bacterium. Its description in RNAcentral is "bacterial SSU rRNA". It matches the Rfam family "Bacterial small subunit ribosomal RNA", at positions 28 to 359 of the family's 1533-position model. The record is from RNAcentral.
GAUGAACGCUAGCGGCAGGCCUAAUACAUGCAAGCCGAACGGCAAGUCUGAUAGCAAUAUUAGACCUAGAGUGGCGUAAGGGUGCGUAACACGUAUGCAAUCUACCCGCAACAGGAGGAUAGCUCGGGGAAACUCGAAUUAACCCUCCAUAAGAUCUUAGACCGGCAUCGGUUAGAGAUUAAAUCUGAGGAGGUUGCGGAUGAGCAUGCGUCUGAUUAGCUAGUUGGCGGGGUAAUGGCCCACAAGGCGAUGAUCAGUAGGGGAACUGAGAGGUUGAUCCCCCAACUGGCACUGAGAUACGGGCCAGACUCCUACGGGAGCAGCAGUAGGA